Molecule: transfer RNA, 74 nt
Filed under: Synechococcus sp. RSCCF101
Lineage: Bacteria; Bacillati; Cyanobacteriota; Cyanophyceae; Synechococcales; Synechococcaceae
Rfam family: tRNA
About the family: Transfer RNA (tRNA) molecules are approximately 80 nucleotides in length. Their secondary structure includes four short double-helical elements and three loops (D, anti-codon, and T loops).
Source: Rfam by way of RNAcentral
GCUCCCUUAGCUCAGCUGGAUAGAGCAACCGCCUUCUAAGCGGUCGGUCGUUGGUUCGAGUCCAACAGGGAGCG